CAGGCACAUACUGCAUGGUUGAAGAUGGAUUGGUAGCUCUAGAAAGUGUUGGCUACUGCAACUGGGGUGUCUCUGAAGCUUUUGUAGUUUCUGUUUGAGGAUCAUGGCUGCCUUGCUCAAUCAAUUGGUCAUGUUGUUCAGACACUUCAUUUGCUCAAGCAGUGUCCAAUAUUUUGGACCAUGCAAGGUGAUGAAGAUGGGUGUGAUAUGCAUCAGUACUUUCUCCUUCCUUUUGAUAUGCUUGAUAUACUGCUCAAAGUCUAUGUUUUCACAGAGCUUAAAAUACUUGAUGAGUGCUAGCUUUGCCUUUUCAUAAUCAUCACCAUUUCCAGUAUCAGGUAAUGUUUUAAAAAUCUGGUGAACUAAACUGCCUGCAAAAUGUAACAGCAUUGCCUGCUGGAUGGUGAGGUCAUUUCCCUUUAUCACAAGAAAUAGAUUUUCCAGUCUUUUAAACCGAUGGUCUCAUCUAGGUCCCACUAUAUAGAGUGGGAGUCAUGAAUAGCAAAUUUAGGAAAAGCAGGAAGCAUACUGAUAACAACAAAAGCAGAAGCUCAUAAAACUGGGAGAAGAACCAGUCACUGUUGGAAAAGUACGCUGUUCCACUGGAUAAAAGAAGCACUCAAAAUGGCUGCCACUCCACUCCUUCAGGCAGAGUGAAGAGACUAUACAGUAGAUAAGAUGGCUGCUGCACUCAAAAGCAGGAUACUACAAAAGCUUUGCGUUACACAGUAUGUUAUCGCUAUGAAGAAAAAUUCAGAAUUCCAAGUGAGGAACAGACAGACAGAAAUACCUGCUGCUGCACAUGUGUCGACACUUUCAACGAGCUGUCCACCACGACCCCAAGAUCCCUCUCCUGGUCAGUCACCGACAGCUCAGAUCCCAUCAACAUACACUUGAAGUUACUUGAAGAAGGGUGAGCCCUCAAGCUGGACCAGUUUGAUGGAGAACCAGCUUGAGGUCCAGCUGGAUCACACAUCCCUACCACCCUCCCCAGUGCUGCUCUCAGACCACCGAACUGGCUCAUGGUUGGGCUGAACCAGAACGGACUGCUUCACCAAACCACAAACUGGCUCAUUUUUGAAUUGCUGUAUGAACUGAAGUUCAGACUGUUGUAGGCGGAUUCUAAAUAAUUUUCUCUCACUCUACAUUCACAUCUUCUCAAGCAAGCUAUAAAGGAACGUGCAAACCUUCUAGCAAGGGCGAAGCUCAGUCAUGCUCUCUGCGCUGUUUCCCCCACCGGAGAGAAACACCAGCACCUUUUCUCCCCGCGAACCCAAGCCUCUCUCUACUACACUACAGCAAGCAUAUACCAGGCAAGGCUGGCUUGCUUAGUGUGUGUCUGUGUCACGUCGCCGCCUGCACCGCAGCUUGCAAAGGAGAUGGGUGGUGGUGUGUGUAGAAUACUUCCAGCCUGAGUCUGCAGUGUGCACAUUUACUCAGAAGUAAGCCCUACCGAUUUCAACAAGGCUUACUCCAUAGUAAGUUAUUGCAUGCAGAAGACCCCAGGUUCAAGCCCUGGCAGCAUCUCCAGGGAGGGCUGGGAAAGACUCCUGCCUGGAACUUUGGAGAGAUGCUGCCAGUCAGUGUAGUAGGCAAUAGUGAGGUUGAUGAACGGAUCAAGGGUCUCUGACUUGAUAUACAACUUCCUACACAGCCAAUGUAAAGUAGACCAUAGUUUCAAAGAGGUAACUGCAGAGGAAAGGAAAGAAAGGAAGAGAAAUAAAUAAAAAAGAAACAAAAAAAAGGGCAAGAGCAAAGGAAGAAGGAAUAAGGGGGGGGGACCUAGCGCCCGUUAUUAUAACGGGCUUAAAAAUACUAGUCUACUAUAAAAGGAGAGUCUGAUUAAUAGUUGCACUUAGAUUUUGUCUUUGUUGUUCUGAGCUACACAUACAUUAUUUUACUAAUGGAGAAAGGAAAAUAUCUCAGGGGUAAUUUAUUAACCACUUUCACCAAUGAGAUUUUAUCAGUGUAGAAUUUUUUUCACAGCGUGGUUUGGAGUUUGUUUGACUGUCCCAUCUUUAAGUUAUUGUAGUACUGUAGUAGAUGUCUUGCAUGGGUAAAGUUUGCAUGCUAUGUGUGCCCAGGGCUGCAGAUUCAUAUUAAAGUAUCUGAGGCAGCAUGACUGAGAAGCACCUAAGCCUGAGACUUUACAAGGGAUGCUGCUGUAAAGAGCUAGACUGAUGGAUACUCAUAUAUACUUCUAUUGCAGUGGUUAUUCAUGUAUAUACUGUUUCUAACCUAUCAAAUUGUUCAGUGUGAAGCCACAAAUUAAAAAAGCUUCAAAAAAGAAUUCUGUCAAACGUGGACUGUUCUAUAAUUUGAACAGUUGUUGAAUCAAUCAGCCUUUUCAUGAUAUGUAUCAUCAUAUCUUUUAACUUGUAUUCACUUUUAGUACUAAUAUGUAUUUGCAUAUCUAUUUUAACUUGUCUCUUUUUAAAUUGCAAUCAUCCUUAAUUUUAGCCUUUUUAUAAUAUGUAUCAUCAUAGCAGCAUCAUAUAACAUGUAAUUUUUAACUUGUCUUCAUUUUAAAUAUAAAUAUGUUUUAUGCUGGUCUAUGACCACAAAAAAGGUUGAUUGAUUGAUUGAUUGAUUAGAAUCAUUCAAUUUGUAUAGGUGUUGAAACCAGGAUGCACAUAGAUGUACAAUCCUAGAUCGUUUCACCUAGUCACCCUAAGUUGGAGAAAACAAUGAAUAAUGCAAAAUCCAGCUUGGUAACAGAAAUCUAAAGGAAGGGAGGGGUCCCUGGCUUCUCCAAGAUAGGGCUGAGAGAGAUUUGUGCCUGCAACCUUGGAGAAGCCACUGCCAAUCUGUGAAGACAAUACUGAGCUAGAUAGAAGGGUUUCUUAAACUUGGGCCCCCAGAUGUUGAUGGACUACA
Molecule: long non-coding RNA, 2877 nt
Organism: Hemicordylus capensis (graceful crag lizard)
Lineage: Eukaryota; Metazoa; Chordata; Lepidosauria; Squamata; Cordylidae
Exons: 5
Source: RefSeq, a predicted model, not a curated record